GCGUAAGUGCACUGGUGUGUGUGUAACCUGGUACUAUUCACCAGUAAAUCUGUGAUAUUUAUUGAGCCCAGGUACCAUUGUAAUAGAUGCUGUGUGAUGCCAGAUUUAUUGAGCCCAGGUACCAUUGUAAUAGAUGCUGUGUGAUGCCAGAUUUAUUGAGCCCAGGUACCAUUGUAAUAGAUGCUGUGUGAUGCCAGAUUUAUUGAGCCCAGGUACCAUUGUAAUAGAUGCUGUGUGAUGCCAGAUUUAUUGAGCCCAGAUAACCAUUGUAAUAGAUGCUGUGUGAUGCCAGAUUUAUUGAGCACAGGUACCAUUGUAAUACCUGCUGUGUGAUGCCAGAUUUAUUGAGCCCAGAUAACCAUUGUAAUAGAUGCUGUGUGAUGCCAGAUUUAUUGAGCCCAGGUACCAUUGUAAUACAUGCUGUGUGAUGCCAGAUUUAUUGAGCCCAGAUAACCAUUGUAAUAGAUGCUGUGUGAUGCCAGAUUUAUUGAGCCCAGGUACCAUUGUAAUAGAUGCUGUGUGAUGCCAGAUUUAUUGAGCCCAGGUACCAUUGUAAUACAUGCUGUGUGAUGCCAGAUUUAUUGAGCCCAGGUACCAUUGUAAUACAUGCUGUGUGAUGCCAGAUUUAUUGAGCCCAGAUAACCAUUGUAAUAGAUGCUGUGUGAUGCCAGAUUUAUUGAGCCCAGGUACCAUUGUAAUAGAUGCUGUGUGAUGCCAGAUUUAUUGAGCCCAGAUAACCAUUGUAAUUCAUGUGUG
This 756-nucleotide long non-coding RNA is filed under the name Salmo salar (Atlantic salmon). Its description in RNAcentral is "lncRNA (ENSSSAG00000089864.1)". The record is from RNAcentral. Lineage: Eukaryota; Metazoa; Chordata; Actinopteri; Salmoniformes; Salmonidae.